RNAcentral lists this ribosomal RNA (1562 nucleotides) under uncultured eukaryote. RNAcentral's name for it is "partial small subunit ribosomal RNA". It matches the Rfam family "Eukaryotic small subunit ribosomal RNA", at positions 35 to 1614 of the family's 1831-position model. The record is from RNAcentral.
UCUCAAAGAUUAAGCCAUGCAUGUCUAAGAAUAAGCCCCAGAACGGUGAAUCUGCGAAUGGCUCAUUAAACCAGUUAUUGUUUAUUUGAUGGUACCUUACUACUUGGAUAACCGUAGUAAUUCUAGAGCUAAUACAUGCGUCAAUACUCAACUGCUUGUGGGGUGCAUUUAUUAGAUUCAAACCAUCGGCCCUUCGGGGCCUUUGAUGGCGAGUCAUGAUAACUGAGCGAAUCGAAUGGCCUUGCGCCGUCGAUGCUUCAUUCAAAUUUCUGCCCUAUCAGCUUUCGAUGGUAGGAUCUUGGCCUACCAUGGUUGUAAUGGGUAACGGGGAAUUGGGGUUUGACACCGGAGAGGGAGCCUGAGAAACGGCUACCACUUCCAAGGAAGGCAGCAGGCGCGUAACUUGCCCAAUGUUGACACAAUGAGGCAGCAACAAGAAAUAACAACGCAACUCCUUUGAAAAAGAUUGCGAUUGGAAUGAGUACAACUUAAACACCUUAACGAUGAACAAUUGGAGGGCAAGUCUGGUGCCAGCAGCCGCGGUAAUUCCAGCUCCAAUAGCAUAUACUAAAAUUGUUGCAGUUAAAAAGCUCGUAGUUGGAUUUCUGGUAGACAUUGAGCGUCCGUGGCCUCACGGUCAUGCGCAUGCGAUAAUGGUUGGCCAUGUACUUCGGAGGAACAUGGGUACUUUUCAUUAAAGUGCCAGUGGGAUUCCGAUAGUUUACUUUGAGAAAAAUAGAGUGGUUCAAAGCAGGCGGUUUUUGCCUUGAAUAACAUUAAGCAUGGGAUAAUAAAAUAGGACAUUGGUUCUAUUUUGAUGGUUUAAGGACCGAUGUAAUGAUUAAUAGGGACAGUUGGGGACAUUCAUAUUCCAUGGCUAGAGGUGAAAUUCUUGGAUUCAUGGAAGAUGAACUACUGCGAAAGCAUUUGUCAAAGAUGUUUUCAUUGAUCAAGAACGAAAGUUAGGGGAGCAAAGACGAUCAGAUACCGUCGUAGUCUUAACCAUAAACGAUGCCGACUAGGGAUCGGUGGGUGUUAGUUUGAUGACCCCAUCGGCACCUCAUGGGAAACCAAAGUCUUUGGGUUCCGGGGGGAGUAUGGUCGCAAGGCUGAAACUUAAAGGAAUUGACGGAAGGGCACCACCAGGAGUGGAGCCUGCGGCUUAAUUUGACUCCACACGGGAAAACUCACCCAGGUCCCAGACCAUGGUAAGGAUUGACAGAUUGAGAGCUCUUUCUUGAUUCCCAUGAAAAGUGGCGCAUGGGCCGUUCUCAUUGUCUGGUUAAUUCCGUUAACGAACGAGACCUUAACCUGCUAACUAGUCACCGUAAGCAAUUUUGCUUGGUCGGCUUGACUUCUUAGAGGGACAAUCUGUUUUCAGCAGAUGGAAGUUUGAGGCAAUAACAGGUCUGUGAUGCCCUUAGAUGUCCUGGGCUGCACGCGCGCUACACUGACGAACUCAACGAGUUUACAACCUUGGCAGAGAUGUCUGGGUAAUCUUUUAAAAGUUCGUCGUGAUGGGGAUAGAUGAUUGUAAUUAUUCGUCUUGAACGAGGAAGUCC